CUUUAUUUAGCUGUGAACCAGACCUCCAUCAAAGCAGAUAUUUUCUUUAGCCAUCACUCUCUUUUUUUUGACCUGUGCAGAGAACAACAGACUUAUAACUCUCAGCAAGAAGAAGGUGCAAGAAGAUAGUGCAAGCCAACUUCCCCCUCUGAACCUUUCUCUGUCUUUUCCUCUUGUCCUCUUCCUCCCCCCUUCUGCUCUUCUCUGCUUUCUGGAGCCCUGAAGUCAGAUUUCCGACUCGAAAAGUCGGACGAUCCUCACCAACCCCGACAAGGUCAUAAUCCAAGAUGGCAUCGCAGUGCAUCAACAGCAAAAAGUAACAGUUAAAGCUCUCGUAAUGUAUUAUUUAUUAGCACUUCUGUUUUGUUUUUGUGAAAUUAAAUAAGUGGUGUAUGUUGUACUGUCCAAUGUCUAACUGUGAACAUGGUGCUAUGGUGUUCGCAAGAGUAAAAUACUGUCAUGCAAUGUUUAUAACUGGUAUCGCUAACAACAACUAACAACCGCUGACAAUGGCUAACAAUAGUUGACAACCGCUAACAACAACCGACAACGGCUAACAAUAGUUGACAAUCGCUAACAACAACUGACAACGGCUAACAAUAGUUGACAACGGCUAACAACAACUGACAAUGGCUAACAAUAGUUGACAACCGCUAACAACAGCUGACAACGGCUAACAAUAGUUGACAACGGCUAACAAUAGUUGACAACCGCUAACAACAACUGACAAUGGCUAACAAUAGUUGACAACCGCUAGCAACAGCUGACAACGGCUAACAAUAGUUGACAACGGCUAACAAUAGUCGACAUCCGCUAGCAACAGCUGACAACUGCUAACAAUAGAUGACGACUGCCAACAACAGCUGACAAUGGCUAAUGACAGCUGACAAUUGUUAACAACAACGGCUAACAGCAGGUAUCCAUCUUGGUUUUUCGACUUGUUUACUGGAUCACUAUCUUCUCAGGUGUAUCAUUAUUCCAAGCUCCAACUCCAAAGGUAACUGCAACACAGUAUAAGUAGUUGUAUUUUCAUAAGUACACAAGGUCCUCUGCACAUUUGUCCAUAUGAAACCCAUAUUCACAAACAAAUGAGUCCCCACUUUCAAGCAAGCAAAUUUAUGAUCUGACUGCCUGCGAAGGACAAUGUUUAUGCAACUUAUCAAGGUUCUUGUCAGAAUACUGAAAGGCUUCAGAAGCUUUUCUUUAACUGUGCUAUUAUUAAGUGAACACAAAUGUUUACCUUGCUCUUGAAAGCACAGAAAGCCUCAAGCAGAAUCCUCUAAAAUGUCAAACCUGUAAGUUAUUGCAGCACUCUGGUGUCUCAGAGAGCUGAUGAUUCAACUAAGCUUUUCUAUACUUGUAGAAAUCUUCCCUGAUGGUUAAUUUCUCCCUUAUCAUCCUCCUUCUCUACUUUGUCCUGCAGGUGUAGCAGAGGUGAUAGUCCUGGUCGGAGGGCGUCAAACGAUCGGGAUGAACCAGCGCUCCCUGACAGCGGUCACCUGUUUCAACCCCCAGAACAGUAAGUGGUACCCGCUGGCCAGCCUGCCCUUCUAUGACCGAGACUUCUUCAGUGUCAUCUCAGCCGGAGACAACAUCUACCGGUCAGGUGAGCUGAAUAUACUGGGGGACGAUUGUAGCUUUACUGUUCGGCAAUAAGAUAACUUUUAUUCUGUUCAAAGAGUGAUUUUUGCAAAAAAAAAAGUCUGUUCUACUUUCUUUGGUCCUGACCUUUUUUCGCUGUCACUGCAGUGUUGUUCAGUUCAUUUAGCUCCAUACUGACUCACUGUGCUCUCUGUGACUUCCUCGAUGAAACACCUUGAAGUUGUCUCUCCAGAGAUAGACUGAAUUCCUCCCUCUGUGGAGACAGUGCUCAAACCUUGACAUUGCACUGUGGAAAUACAGCAGGAUUUAUCCUGUGUGUACCUGUCCUCUCCCUCUUUUCAUAUAAAUGUAAAUUUGUGUUUUGGGCAUUGGAGCAGGUCUGCAUGUGUCCGCUGGGAGUCAAGACAACCAGAGCAGAAGUCAGAGGUGUUCUAGUCAGCCAGUCAAGAAGUGCCAGUGUUGGCUGGUGUUAAAAAAAAUUACAGGGAGCUGAAACAAACACAGUUUAGAUGGUUGUUUGAUUCACUUGCCACACGGCUCUGUCAGCUCUUUGUUUGAGUUCUCCCUCAGUUUUAAAACUUCUGAGGGAAGUGUAUGUGUGAUAGAAAGCUCUACAUGAUUGGAGGACUGGGUGACUAGUGACGGGAAGAACAGUUCUUUUGACUGUACCUAAUCUUUAGAAUACGUUCAUUAAAAUGAUUCAUUCAAAAGAUUCCUUCACGAAAUCAGUCAGUGAUUCGGAGCCCCGUCCUGCUGGGUGUAGUACACAAGUGAGUGACACAGCAGCGCAGAUCAGAAGUUUGUUAGUUGAACAGGCCCCUCCCCUCCCCUGAUGCUGAAGUCACAGCUUCGUUCAAUGGAUGACACAUGUCGUUCAUUUGUCAAGUCAUGAAGAAAGAAUCACUCUUGUGCCCUGAAAAACUCACUUCUGUGUGUGCAACCGACGUUUGCAACACGGCACGAGUGAAGCAACACAGCUGCAAGCAGCAUGCCUGCUAAAAGAGCGUGAAUCUUCGUUUUUAUGUAUCACAGAUAAGUGGCGAGACUCACAGUGAACGAACCGGUGCUCAGAAGUUCGUGAACGUCGCUACGCUCCUCCCUCCUCUGCCUGCCUCAAGUCGUUCGGGAGUCGUUCAUUUCAUUUACUGUCUGUAUGAAACAUGUCGUUCAUUCUCUGUGAGCAAAUCACAAGACUCCGCCUGCCCACUCACUCGCUGGCUCGCUGUGCGUCGUUCACCAAAGAGUCACAUGCGGCAGUUCCACUCCUGACGGGCACACCAAGCUCGCGGCUGAGCUCAACUGAACUGAGAAAGGAACGAAUCAGUUUUUGGAGUGAUUCCAUUCACGUUGUUCCGUUCUUUCGAAUGAAUCGUUCAUGAACAACACAACACUAAGUGGGACUGUCAGGGACCUGGACUACAUGGAGAGGUGGGAGUCAUACAGCAUCGUCAACAGCAGCAGCAGCUCCCAGCUGGUGACACACACAGCUAUAACCUCGAUCUGACAGCCAUCUCAGCAAGUAGGGGUGACUCUGCAGAAAGAAAUCUAGUUUGCACAAAUAAAUAUUCACUCUGCGGUAAAUAUAGCAGGUGGUGUGUCAUGCGGGGAUGCGAUGCAGCAGCUUGUAAAAGUGAUUGGACAGGUUGGUUAGCAUUUUCAGAGAGCGGGAAAAGGGGAGUGAAUCCGAGCCGGGUGUGAGUGUCCUUGUGCAGCGACGGUUGGAGCACUUGUGUUUGUGAGUGAGAGCUUUUGCUUCCAGAGAGCAGAGGGACCAACUCUCUGAUUGCACCCACUUCAUGUAAAGGUCGUCCUCUGUGGCCUGUUCUGUGGGAACUCCUCAGACAGUUUCCCCCAUGGAGUACAAUGAACUCCUACUCACUUAAAGCAUGAAUAGACAUUGUUCUGAGUUAUACCUCUUGACUUUUAUCACUCUGCUUUUCAUUUCUCCUCACUCCUCUAACCUGAGCUGAGAAGCGAGUUUCAGCAGAGAGACUUCCUCCUCAUGCACGGCAAAGGACGACAAGCCAAAUUUGUUUAAAAUGUCUUACUUGACUACUCUUCAUUUUCCCCCAGACAGGGUGUAUCAAUGAAGACUUAGUUUGCAUUUACCUUUAUGUAAAGAAGAAUAUCUUGCUUCCGAUGAAAAGUAAAGACGGUGGAAGCUUUUAUUGGAAAAGAGCAGUUAUUUGUCGAGUCUCUGAGGCGAAACUAAAGCGCGGUGUUAUGCAUCAUUUACAAUAAAAGUUUUGUCAGACUAUACUUGUUUGAAUACAGCUAUCAUCCUCUGACAUUAUAUCAAAUAAAUGGUAUUCAUAAAGAGUGAAGGAGCACUGAUACUUUGUAGCCUAGCUCGGCAGAUAAAACAGCAGUUUGUCUUCAAAGACUCAAACAUUAACUUUUAUCUGAUACCUUUUUUUAAUAUAUAAAAUCUUUAUCAGAGACACUUCUUCCAGCUAUAUAACCUUACAAAGUCUUCUUAACCUUAAAAAUGCCCCUGCUCCCACACACAGCUGCCUGGUAUUUGCUUCCGACUUUGAAACAAACAAAAAACAGAAUAUUUUAACUAAACAUUAAAGCUCCUUUGUUCAUUUCUUCUCAUCUGCUUUGAUAAAUGAGCCCAGCUCAUGACCAAUCCUUCAUUUUAAGUUUGGUAGGUGUGUCUCUGCUCUAAGACUCAGCAGGCCUGGCUCCAGCUCAGCCCUUUAGGUCCAAAACUCUAAAGAUGAUGGGGACUCCAGCAGGGAGGCAGCCAGUCCACAGCAGGACUAAACCCUGACCGGAGAAGAUAAGGAAGCUGUUACUAAAUCCCCUUUUUUUGCCACUUCCCCCAGGAGGAAGAGCUGCACAGAUCUCAAGCACUUUGUGACAGAUAGAGGAGAUGAUAUGCAGGAAUCAUUAGUCAGUGAGGGUGAAUGGUUGCCUCAUUUGAAGUGCGCAUGGUCGCUGGGGUUGUGUUUGAAGGCUGGGAAACAGCAUGAAAUGUGAUCUGGGUAAAUUGAUUACACACAUGGAAACAUUUUUUCAGCCUGCAUUUCUUUGUGUCCUGCAAAACUAUGUCUAGAUACACCUUUAUGUCUCUGUUUAUUGUUUAUUUUGAUGCCUGCAUACAUCAGCCAUCUUCAGCCAGGGCUCUUCUCCUUCCUGCAGUUUGACUCCUAAUUUGCAGUCCUUCCUAUUCCCAUCACUCAAUCCAUCUCUCCAUCCAUCUCUCUGGGGGUUUCACGCUUCUAGCUGUGAAAUUCACCCACACUCGCAAUUACGUCUUCAUUCAGAGCCGUCCAAAAGCCAGUUGGAUGCUGCCUUUUCUUUGGGAACAACAGGAGGUCCGAAUCAGCGCUCAAAGGAGUCAGCGAGCUCAUUUAUGUCUCUGCUCUCCUCGCUGAUGACUGACAGAUUUUUAGGGACGGGGAGCGGCUGAGUUCAGGAGGCUUUGAACUUGUAAUUGGGUACUCUGGGCCUCAGCAUGUUUAUUCUUUGGCAAAACUCGACGUGAUUGCGGAUAUUGAAUAAUUCAUGGAUAUCUAAUGAUGUGUCAAUCACAGAUGGUUUUGUUUUAUUUAUCGGGCACUAUAACCAGGUUUAUGCGUCCUUCAGGCUCCAUUGCACGUUAAUAUUGCAUGAAGACCGUUUGUGAUAUGACGCUCGAUAUACCCAUCAGCUUUUCUUAUCAGGGAUGUUGAGUUGUUUGGUUAACAAGUCUGGAGGCGAGAGGAACAGUUAGCAAAGAUCACGUUCUCAGGGUCGUUUAUGGCUUUUCAAAAUAAAAUGACCUUUUGGACUGCAGUACGUCAGUAAUUGCGGCUGUAAUACACCUAAUUGGGAGCUCUAUUGUUCAGGUUAAUUAACUAACUAAGUGUCCCUGCUCUUUACAGUUACUGUAUGUGCUCUUGUAAAGGCACCCAAUGCCAAUUUCUGCUUUUUUUCAACCUUCAUGGAGGUUUUCACCUUGCUCUGACAAAAUGCCAUUAUCCUUUUCUUACUGCUUCAUUUGCAUGUUUGUGAUAAAUUCAACAGAUAAGUGCAACUUGAUGUGAACUUGAACCUGGUUCCCUAUACUCAAGCUUAAAUACAGGCCCAUUAUUAACCAAAGACAAAAGAAAGUUUGCAGCGUUGUCGCUUAGGUUUUGUUUCUGUACUCAGUAACAAUGGAACCAGCUAUAUAAGCUCCCUCUGUGCAGCAAUAAUCAAAUUUUUCUCUCACAUUUUUCAUCCUCUGCGAGUAAGUGUGUAGCUGGGUGGAUCUGUCCGUCUUGUAUGGGGUCAUAAUGAUCCUGGAGCUAGUUCAGGAGGUAGGGAAAGGUUGGCAAACCGGGUAAGACACUGUAGUCGUGGACAACAGGCUCCCAGACCCCCUGCUGAGCUGAUCCCCGCUUGUCAGGAUUAACCAACCUCACUGGGCUGCUCCCUAUUGUGCUGUCGAGGCACCAUUAAAGCCUCCAGCUCGAUCUCAGCACCACUCUCCUCAGUCUCUUUCUUUCAUCUCAAGAAAAGGAAAGCAAGGAUGUCUGCGAAGGCAUAUGUAACCCUGCUAUGAAUAUAAAAAUCUCUCAUCUCCAGUCCUCUGCCUCCUACCUCUUAUUCCUCUUGUCCCAUGAGAAAACUGUCAUGAAUUUAGGGAUGUGUGUGAACAAGCAAAAAGUUUUGGGUAAAAUGUUCAGAACUCUGCAGCAGCUUUGCCCCUAAAAUUGUCCAAAGUUGCACACCUGAAUAAGAUCUAUCUUUAACUAAUCAUAUCCUUAAGGGGUUAGGACAAGAUCAUCACAUCUCUCCUACAUACAAAAUAUCCUCCUCUCAAUCUCGCCCAUUUCCCCUGUUUUCUUAUUCUAUCCACCGUCUCUCCUCUCCUGCACCUUCUGUCCCGCUGUCCCCCUCGUCUCCUCGCAGUCCUGAUUAGGUGGGCAGGACUUGAUGGGUGUAUUUUGGGGCCUGAAAGGCAAAGGCGGUGUCUCCUCUUCCUUAUCUUCUAAUGGGUGCUGAGGUCUCUGAAAUAUGGAGGAGGAGGAUGCCAAGAGUGUGUGUGUGCGUGUGUGCAUGUGUGUGUGUGACAGUUAGAGAAACAUUGGCGAGCAGCAGCAGCGGUGCCUGAGGACGGUAUUAGUGAAAGGCAGAGAGAGGCUGCAGGUAAUGAGCAGUAUGAGCUCCAUGUGCUUCUCUUUCAUUGAUUAAUGAUGAGCUGGACUUUGAACAAUUUCCGGCUUUCACCAGCAGGCAGAUCAUUUUUCUCUCUCUCUUUCUUUCAGCUUUUGUGCUUUUUUCUACCCUCUUUUUUUCUCUCUUUCAACUUCCAUUUCUCUGUCCAGAUCACAAAGCCAGUUUUACACAUUUGAAACAUACUGUAUAUCUCAUCCUCUCUUGUAUAGGGCUGCAAUCCAGUUUUCCAUACAGCCAGCCUGCAGCAG
RNAcentral lists this long non-coding RNA (7001 nucleotides) under Xyrichtys novacula (pearly razorfish). The record is from RNAcentral. Lineage: Eukaryota; Metazoa; Chordata; Actinopteri; Labriformes; Labridae.